Molecule: small RNA, 662 nt
Filed under: Pongo abelii (Sumatran orangutan)
Lineage: Eukaryota; Metazoa; Chordata; Mammalia; Primates; Hominidae
Description: retained intron
Source: RNAcentral
GAUGCUGGGAUUUCCUCAUCUUCCUCUUGUUUGUCUGUGUCUAUCUCUCUUACUUUUCAGACCUAAAAAAAAGGACAGUGCUGUGAAGCUGGACAGCCCCAGGCCCCUCUGCCCACGCUGCACCCAGCGCCACCAGCGCCCUGACCCCCGGACCUGCCGCUGCCGCUGCCGACGCCGCAGCUUCCUCCGUUGCCAAGGGCGGGGCUUAGAGCUCAACCCAGACACCUGCAGGUGCCGGAAGCUGCGAAGGUGACACAUGGCUUUUCAGACUCAGCAAGGUGACUUGCCUCAGAGGCUAUAUACCAGUGGGAGAACAAAGAGGAGCCUGGUAAAAAACAGCCAAGCCCCCAAGACCUCAGCCCAGGCAGAAGCUGCUCCAGGACCUGGGCCUCUCAGAGGGCUCUUCUGCCAUCCCUUGUCUCCCUAAGGCCGUCAUCAAACAGGACAGAGUUGGAAGAGGAGACUGGGAGGCAGCAAGGGGGUCAUAUACCAGCUCAGGGGAGAAUGGGGUACUGUCUCAGUUUCUAACCGCCCUGUGCAAGUAAGCAUCUUACAACUGGCUCUUCCUCCCCUCACUAAGAAGACCCAAACCUCUGCAUAAUGGGAUUUGGGCUUUGGUACAAGAACUGUGACCCCCAACCCUGAUAAAAGAGAUGGAAGGA